Molecule: long non-coding RNA, 554 nt
Organism: Physella acuta
Lineage: Eukaryota; Metazoa; Mollusca; Gastropoda; Physidae
Source: RefSeq, a predicted model, not a curated record
AAAGCGUUUUUCUGUAACAUUUGAGAGUCAGGUGAGAACAAUGCAUUUGGUGUAAAAUGAACUUUGAAGGACAAAUACAUCCCUUGGCGUUUAAAGGUUAAACAUCGGAUAAGUAGUUUGUUCAAAUAAGUUAUUGCUCGAAAGAAUAUGUAAUGCGUUUUGUGAUGUGUUAUUGAACAAUGAAUCAUAGUGUAAGCAGUACAUUCAGCAAGCCACCCAGCCUUGAAGAAAUAGCGAAAAGUUGCUGUCGAUGUAUAAGCUGAUUUUCAUAAUGCUGAUGUUGUGCUCAGCAGUCAUGGGUGCUAGAAAGAAAAGGUUCCAGUAUAUGGGCAAUUGUGCACCAGCGUAUAUGGCUUGUGACCAGUGGAUACCUUGUUGUGACAGAAAUCAUCAAUGCAGAUGGCAAAGGAGAAAAGAUUUUUGGCCAAAAUGUCUACCGAGUUGAUGUUCUACUAUUAAACAUUGUAUUGCCUUCAUGGUGCUUAGUAUAAACCAUUUUUGUGAAGGUAGCUAGUAAAUAAAUUACACACUACUCGAAAGACAAGUUAUUCAAA